AAAGAGGCAAUUAAGUUAAAAUGAGGUCACGAAAGUGGGCCCUAAUUUAAUAUGACUGGUGUUCUUGUAAGAAGAGGAGGUUAGGACAGAGGGACACACAAAGGAAAGACCAUGUGAGGACAGAGGGAGAAGAUGGCCCUCUACAAGCCAGUGAGAGGCCUCAGAAGCAGCCAACCCUGCGGACACACUGAUCUUGGACUUCUCAUCUCCAGAACUGUGAGAAAAGAAAUUUCUGUUGUUGAACCCCCCCCAUCUGUUUUUACUUUGUUAUGGCCGCCCUAGCAAAGGAAUACAUUGCUCAUUUGGAUGUAAAACAGGUUUCUUCUCCACUUCACAAGUCUGAAAGCCUCCCUUGGUAAAUCCUUAACCUCAUUAAGCCCAUUCUCUCAGGAUAUCUGCCCUUUAGCAGCACAGAGCCCCCGUAGACGCUGAGAAAUUAGUCUUUCCUCAAAUAAGAUCAAACUCUUUGGCACAUCAGUCUCCCUAAGUUGGAAGGGCGCAGUACAACAGUCUAUUCUUCCUUAAUAAAGAAUAUUCCAGCUCUUACGAAGCGGGCAGCAUCUACCGCCAGAGUGUCUUCUGUUGGCUGGGAAUGGCGGUUUCGCCCUUCCCGCUCGUGCGCACGCUUGCAUUCACGCGUCCACUUAACCGCGGUCAGUGAGAGCCUGCUGUGUGCAAGCCGCGGUGUCAAAGCCCAGCCUGUGCGGUGCUGCUUGAAGGAGGUCACAGAAAAGAACAGUCGCUGAAGGCAGAUGUGGAGGAAGAGAGCAGUUCUUUCUUUCUUUUUCUUUAAGAGAGUUUGGGAGAUACGAAGCACUGACGGGAAUAACCUGAUGGAAGGGAGACGCGACGAGCGCAUGCGCUCGCGGGCCUCAGCGGGCGGGCGCUGGCUUCCGCUUGGCGGGACCGAAGUCUGGAAAGUUUGAGAAGCAGAUUACAAAAGGACUCCAGCAGUCAAGCACACAGGGAAGGUCCUCCCACAAACGAUGAAGGGCCUAUAAGGUGGUGUCCACAAGAGUGGGUAGAGAAAUAUGGAAGAUAAAGACCGCCCAAGGGAACAUCCUGCCCAUCCAGCCGGGUGAGUGAAAUAAAUGAUCACACUUUGCAAUUCA
RNAcentral lists this long non-coding RNA (1112 nucleotides) under Ursus americanus (American black bear). RNAcentral describes it as "lncRNA (ENSUAMG00000018275.1)". The record is from RNAcentral. Lineage: Eukaryota; Metazoa; Chordata; Mammalia; Carnivora; Ursidae.